Molecule: long non-coding RNA, 1856 nt
Filed under: Daphnia magna
Lineage: Eukaryota; Metazoa; Arthropoda; Branchiopoda; Diplostraca; Daphniidae
Description: uncharacterized LOC116931521, transcript variant X1
Source: RNAcentral
CAAGAUGGCAGUGCAAACUCGCUGAAAAAAUGUGAAAACGGAAGAAGAACAGGGUUGUCUAAAUGUCGUCAUUCAUCACAUCGAAUGACGUCGACAAACGACUUUCGCGUCGUUACGCACAAUUGAAUACAGUUUACCGACGAAAACUGAAGGAUGUUUACAAAACACGAAUAAAUAAAAAAAACAACUGAAAGCCGACAGAGUGACCGAGGACACUAAGCAAUUCCACGCAUUGACAAGGAGUUGACAGAAGAUGAAGUAUAAGCAAAAGAGGAUGAAUCUGGUAGAGAGCAAGAGCAUAUAGAAGGAUAGACGGAAUAACCAUCAACGCAGCGCUAGACGCAUUUAAAUUCUCUUUCAUCCAGAAAGCCAAAGGUCACAAGGCCUGCACAUGUGCCACAGUCGGAUCGAUCGACAAUGGUUCACCGUCUACUAGCUCGUCGAUUGCAACAUGAUAGAGCACUCACCUUGACUCGUUGCAGGUCAAUAGGGUUCAUUAUGGAGCCCUGGAAAAAUUCCACGGUGGUAAAAUGUCGCUUGAAAAGACCCUCAAGUUCCAGGUCUGGUGGCUUUCUACAAACACGGUUAUGGGUAAUCAUCAAAAAUAGAAAAAGCUGUUAAUGGAUAAAAAGAAGAAGAAAAAAAACCAAAUCGAAACAAUCAACAACCACGAAAUAUUUUUCAUCACGAUAUCCGCAUGCCUCGCUAAUCUAAAACCACAGUCCCAGAAUAGGAAAACCACAAACGUAAAUCAAAAGGUAUGUUGAGUAUACGAGUGGAAGAUGUCAAUCCAAUGAUGACUCGUCAAUCGAAUUCCCUUUCCAUUUUUCUAUUCCAUUCGUCUUCCUUCCACACAAGUUCACCGAUGUCACAUCUUAUCAGUUGCUACGUUUCUCUGAUUUAAAAAUAUCCAGGUAUCUCUAGUUAGCUACCGUAAAAAUAAUAAUGUUUCGGCCAUAUGUAUUAAUGAGAUAAGCUUGAGAAGAUUUAAAAAAAUAAAGCCAACGGAUCUGCAAAACGACGAAGAUCUCUUAAUAGCUCUUUGGAGAAGACCUUAUGGAAAUACUGGCUGGAUAUUUUGCAAUCUUGCUACCGACUCCGCCGCAAAAAGUGGAAGACAAGUUGAAAGAAAUAAAAGAAUGUGAAAAAAAAAGUGGAAAACACACUGAGUUGUAUGAAUGUGUUAAUAAGAAAAUACCGAGAAAAAAAAACGAUGUAGAUAAAAGAGGAAUAGGAAAUUUUAAGUGAGAGAGAGAGAGAGAGGCGGGAGGCAAGCAGUUUGUCACGGUGCGUAUAUUGUUUUGUUUGGUUCUGUUCUCGAUCUACCUUGACCCUUUGCAAAUCAACGGCAUUCAUCAUGGAGCCCUGAAAAAACUUGACGGUGGUGGAGUGCCUCUUCAGCAGGCCUUCCAGCUCCAAAUCGGGUUCUUUCCUGUUUCACACGGGCAACGCAGACAAAAGAAACACGGCUCAGUUCUUUCUUUUACCGAUUUUUGAACGUAAUAAUGUGGCAAAAAGAAAAAGUAGGCUUAUGUGUAGUUUCAUAAUGUAUGUAGACUACCAUCAACAUCUUCUUUUGUAUUCCGUUUUCAAAAAUGUAUAGUGCUGCUGUCGGCUGUUCGAGGAUUAUUAGCCUAAUAAUAGACAACCUCCAUUCAGGUAAUGACGUCAAUGGGUCUUCUCCUCUCUACGAGACACAUAUUCACGAAUCGAUGCAUUUACUUUCUCCCCUUCCAUUUGCCGACUUCAAACUUCCCUUUAGGUACACGGAGUUCAGAUUAAAACGUGCCCGCUGAAACAGAAUACAUUUCUGUCGUGACUGAUCUAUACAGAACGUGACGUCAGUACUACUAUAA